This 155-nucleotide ribosomal RNA is filed under the name uncultured bacterium. RNAcentral describes it as "partial 16S ribosomal RNA". It matches the Rfam family "Bacterial small subunit ribosomal RNA", at positions 355 to 509 of the family's 1533-position model. The record is from RNAcentral.
UGAGGAAUAUUGGUCAAUGGGCGGGAGCCUGAACCAGCCAAGUCGCGUGAGGGAAGACGGUCCUAUGGAUUGUAAACCUCUUUUGUCGGGGAGCAAGAAAGGGUAUGCAUACCCUACUGAGAGUACCCGAGAAAAGCAUCGGCUAACUCCGUGCC